UACCAGCACCCCGAGUGGUCAGGACGUUUAUUGGGCCUAAAGCAUCCGUAGCCGGUUCUACAAGUCUUCCGUUAAAUCCACCUGCUUAACAGAUGGGCUGCGGAAGAUACUAUAGAGCUAGGAGGCGGGAGAGGCAAGCGGUACUCGAUGGGUAGGGGUAAAAUCCGUUGAUCCAUUGAAGACCACCAGUGGCGAAGGCGGCUUGCCAGAACGCGCUCGACGGUGAGGGAUGAAAGCUGGGGGAGCAAACCGG
This 253-nucleotide ribosomal RNA is filed under the name uncultured bacterium. RNAcentral describes it as "partial 16S ribosomal RNA". It matches the Rfam family "Archaeal small subunit ribosomal RNA", at positions 474 to 727 of the family's 1478-position model. The record is from RNAcentral.